GGCAACCAAAACCCAGCCUGAGAGAGAGGGAGAGAGAGAGACUUUCCCCCAGCCACCCCCACCCCUUUUUCUUUUUUCUCCAAGGCUGCACUUUGGAAGAGGUGCAGUCAUUCUUCCCCACACCCCCUACCCUCUCUCCACUCCCCCAACUAUAAAUUCCCUUCUGUAGCAUGCUGCCCUUUUUUAAUCCACAUUUGUGUUUCAGAUCAUGUAGAAAGGACAGAAAGUGAGCAGGGAGCGGGGGCUUUUGUCUAUUGUUCUCCUUGUGCUACUUGAGAGAAACUGCAAUCCCAAGACUUAACAGAAUCUAAAAAUGGUUUAUCAACCAAGGUUAACGUUUUGGGUAAGCCAGAAAACCUUUCCAACCAGCCGAGGGGAUGGGGGAUUUCCAAAGGGAAGUCUCCCCAUCUCGAAGGAAGUAAAUCGCAAGAAGAAAAGUGAGGCAGAGGGGGCAUGCCUGGUUCCAGUGAAUGGCUAUGGACACCAUUUCACCAAAAUCAAUUACCUCUACUCUUUUUAAUCAUAAUUUCUUCAUUUGUAUUACAUAUGGUGUAUGGGUUUGAUGAGGUCAUGGUGUCAUAUAUUGGGAAUUGUUUCUGUGUAAAUCAUCAAGUGUAAGAAGAAACUAUGGGACUCUGAGCCUUGCUUUAGAGAAUAACAGUGGACAAAUGUGUACCAUAAAAAAUAGUUUUUAACAUUCUGACUCAAGCGAAAGCUCUCAGAAUUUCACACUGUGAAUCCAUGUUUACAAACAUUACAGGUGGGCCCUCAGGCCUAGUUCUACCACAGCAAUGUCUUCCACUACUCAAACUCCACUGCUCACAUGCAACUGGUAAACUGCUCUCUCCAUUUCCACCAUCCCGAACUGCUUCUUGCAGAGGCUGAGAGUCCCCCUUUUUUUUCAUUUAGAUGUAACAAGCCUAGUAGUUUAUUUUCAUCGAUUGUCUGUAUAUCUCUAUAUUUUAUCCAUGUACUCUUUUGAUGUAUAGAAGUAGUAUGAAACUCAUGGUUUCCUUGUGGUAAGUGAUUGUGAUGCUGCCACGGGAUUUGAGACACUGAUGAAUGGUGCUAUUUUGGACUUUAAAUAUGCUCCUUGGCAAGGUAGCUCUGAUGGAGUUAUUUUUUAUUUCCAUGUUCUGAGAAGGUGUUGGUACUUUGUUUUUCUGAAUGUUGUUCUUUAGAUGGGACUGAUUUGUUUACUUGUGUCUUCAGUGUGGCUUUCUUAUUCAGUGCCGUAGGUGAGUAACUACUUAUAGUGUACAAGUGAAGAACUGAUUCCCUAUCAGGGUCCACUCACAAACAUGCAGUUAUAGUGGGAGCAAUCACAAAACUGUAAUUUACGUAAAAUCUCCUUUCUGACUCCUAUCCACCUAACAGAGAAAGAUGAGCAAUAAUUUUCCACCAACCUCUCAAAAUCUUUUUUGAUUUUUGUCUUUUUUUUAAAGCCUUUUUUUGAAGAAGGGACAAGUUUUAAUGUCCUCUUCAAAUC
This is a non-coding RNA of Nipponia nippon (crested ibis), 1489 nucleotides long. NCBI's taxonomy places the organism in Eukaryota, Metazoa, Chordata, Aves, Pelecaniformes, Threskiornithidae. The record is from RefSeq and is a predicted model, not a curated record.